CCUACGGGAGGCAGCAGUGGGGAAUAUUGGGCAAUGGAGGCAACUCUGACCCAGCAACGCCGCGUGAAUGAUGAAGGUCUUCGGAUUGUAAAGUUCUUUUCUAAGGGAAGAAGAAAGUGACGGUACCUUAGGAAUAAGCCUCGGCUAACUACGUGCCAGCAGCCGCGGUAAUACGUAGGAGGCAAGCGUUAUCCGGAAUGACUGGGCGUAAAGGGUGCGUAGGUGGUUUGACAAGUUAGUAGCGCAACUCCGGAGCUCAACUUCGGAACUACUACUAAAACUGUUGGACUUGAGUGCAGGAGGGGCAAUCGGAAUUCCUAGUGUAGCGGUGGAAUGCGUAGAUAUUAGGAGGAACAUCAGGGGCGAAGGCGACUUACUGGACUGUAACUGACACUGAGGCACGAAAGCGUGGGGAGCAAACAGGAUUAGAUACCCCAGUAGUC
This 443-nucleotide ribosomal RNA is filed under the name uncultured bacterium. RNAcentral's name for it is "partial 16S ribosomal RNA". It matches the Rfam family "Bacterial small subunit ribosomal RNA", at positions 338 to 795 of the family's 1533-position model. The record is from RNAcentral.